GAUGAACGCUGGCGGCGUGCCUAAUACAUGCAAGUCGAGCGAACAGACGAGGCGCUUGCUCCUCAGACGUUAGCGGCGGACGUGUGAGUAACACGUUGAUAACCUACCUAUAAGACUGGGAUAACUGCGGGAAACCGGGGCUAAUACCGGAUAAUAUCUUGAACCGCAUUGUUCCAUAGUGAAAGACGGUUUUGCUGUCACUUAUAGAUGGAUCCGCGCCGCAUUAGCUAGUUGGUAAGGUAACGGCUUACCAAGGCAACGAAGCGUAGCCGACCUGAGAGGGGGACCGGCAACACGGGAAUGGGACACGGCCCCAGACCCCUACGGGAGGAACAAGAAGGGAUCCUCCCGCAAUGAGCGAAAGCCUGACGGAGCAACGCCGCUGGAGUGAUGAGGUUUUUCGGAUCGUAAAACUCUGUGAUUAGGGAGGAACAAAUGUGUAAGUAACUAUGCACGCCUUGACGGUACCUAAUCAGAAAGCCACGGCUAACUACGUG
This 497-nucleotide ribosomal RNA is filed under the name uncultured bacterium. RNAcentral's name for it is "partial 16S ribosomal RNA". It matches the Rfam family "Bacterial small subunit ribosomal RNA", at positions 28 to 507 of the family's 1533-position model. The record is from RNAcentral.